RNAcentral lists this transfer-messenger RNA (172 nucleotides) under Ignavibacteria bacterium. Its description in RNAcentral is "partial transfer-messenger RNA". It matches the Rfam family "transfer-messenger RNA", at positions 1 to 182 of the family's 374-position model. Rfam says of the family: Bacterial tmRNA, also known as 10Sa RNA or SsrA, is named for its dual tRNA and mRNA-like properties. Its role is to liberate the mRNA from a stalled ribosome. To accomplish this part of the tmRNA is used as a reading frame that ends in a translation stop signal. The record is from RNAcentral. Lineage: Bacteria; Pseudomonadati; Ignavibacteriota; Ignavibacteria.
GGGGGUGAAUAUUUGGCUUCGACGGAAUUAAAGAGACAUUGAACUGCGUACCGUGUUCCCCGAAGACACGUUAAAAAAUCGGGAACAAAAAUAUAACUGGCGAAAAUAAUUACGCCUUAGCUGCGUAAAUAAAACGCAGCCGUUCUUCAUUCUCUCUCUUGCUGGGGUUUGG